RNAcentral lists this ribosomal RNA (372 nucleotides) under uncultured organism. Its description in RNAcentral is "bacterial SSU rRNA". It matches the Rfam family "Bacterial small subunit ribosomal RNA", at positions 526 to 896 of the family's 1533-position model. The record is from RNAcentral.
CAGAGGUCUCAAGCGUUGUUCGGAUUCAUUGGGCGUAAAGGGUGCGUAGGCGGCGGGGCAAGUCUGGUGUGAAAUCCCGGGGCUCAACCUCGGAACUGCACUGGAUACUGCCUUGCUAGAGAUCUGGAGAGGAAACUGGAAUUUACGGUGUAGCAGUGAAAUGCGUAGAGAUCGUAAGGAAGACCAGUGGCGAAGGCGAGUUUCUGGACAGAUUCUGACGCUGAGGCACGAAGGCCAGGGGAGCAAACGGGAUUAGAUACCCCGGUAGUCCUGGCAGUAAACGGUGCGCGUUUGGUGUGGGAGGAUUCGACCCCUUCCGUGCCGGAGCUAACGCGUUAAACGCGCCGCCUGGGGAGUACGGUCGCAAGAUUA